RNAcentral lists this ribosomal RNA (407 nucleotides) under Agrobacterium tumefaciens. RNAcentral's name for it is "bacterial SSU rRNA". It matches the Rfam family "Bacterial small subunit ribosomal RNA", at positions 29 to 484 of the family's 1533-position model. The record is from RNAcentral. Lineage: Bacteria; Pseudomonadati; Pseudomonadota; Alphaproteobacteria; Hyphomicrobiales; Rhizobiaceae.
AACGAACGCUGGCGGCAGGCUUAACACAUGCAAGUCGAGCGCCCCGCAAGGGGAGCGGCAGACGGGUGAGUAACGCGUGGGAAUCUACCGUGCCCUACGGAAUAGCUCCGGGAAACUGGAAUUAAUACCGUAUACGCCCUACGGGGGAAAGAUUUAUCGGGGUAUGAUGAGCCCGCGUUGGAUUAGCUAGUUGGUGGGGUAAAGGCCUACCAAGGCGACGAUCCAUAGCUGGUCUGAGAGGAUGAUCAGCCACAUUGGGACUGAGACACGGCCCAAACUCCUACGGGAGGCAGCAGUGGGGAAUAUUGGACAAUGGGCGCAAGCCUGAUCCAGCCAUGCCGCGUGAGUGAUGAAGGUCUUAGGAUUGUAAAGCUCUUCACCGGUGAAGAUAAUGACGGUAACCGGAG